This 495-nucleotide ribosomal RNA is filed under the name uncultured bacterium. Its description in RNAcentral is "partial 16S ribosomal RNA". It matches the Rfam family "Bacterial small subunit ribosomal RNA", at positions 28 to 507 of the family's 1533-position model. The record is from RNAcentral.
GACGAACGCUGGCGGCGUGCCUAAUACAUGCAAGUAGAACGCUGAAGGAGGAGCUUGCCCUUCUGGAUGAGUUGCGAACGGGUGAGUAACGCGUAGGUAACCUGCCUGGUAGCGGGGGAUAACUAUUGGAAACGAUAGCUAAUACCGCAUAACAGUAGAUGUUGCAUGACGUUUGCUUAAAAGGUGGAAUUGCACCACUACCAGAUGGACCUGCGUUGUAUUAGCUAGUUGGUGGGGUAACGGCUCACCAAGGCGACGAUACAUAGCCGACCUGAGAGGGUGAGCGGCCACACUGGGACUGGGACACGGCCCAGACCUCUACGGGAGGCAGCAGUAGGGAAUCUUCGGCAAUAGACGGAAGUCUGACCGAGCAACGCCGCGUGAGGGAAGAAGGUUCUCGGAUCGUAAAGCUCUGUUGUAAGAGAAGAACGAGUGUGAGAGUGGAAAGUUCACACUGUGACGGUACCUUACCAGAAAGGGACGGCUAACUACGUG